UACGAUACGAUGUGGAACAUGAGUGAAUAUCUACGAAUUGACCCUAAUGUGGGUUAUUAAGAUGGCUACUCGCUUGCGAAUUAUACGUUUAAAAUGAGUGUAAUUUUCUUUAUAAACAUUAAAAUUGGCAUAAAUUAAGUUUUUUUUUUUAAAUAUAUAAUAAUAAUUCGUCGAUCAAAAUAAUGUCGUCUGAGAGCGACGUUGAAGAAUUUUAUGACGCCGAAGAGAAACCUUUAACUCCCGUUAAGUCAAUCAAAUCAGAUGUUGAAAAUAUUCAGAAAAUAGAUGAAAAUGUACAAAGCAGUAAAGAAGAAACUACUACUAAGACUGAUGAUUUAUCAUUGGUUUACAAGAUGGAAGAAGAAAUAAAGGUAAAAUUAAAGAUAGUAAA
Long non-coding RNA from Centruroides sculpturatus (bark scorpion), 391 nucleotides. RefSeq lists it as uncharacterized. Lineage: Eukaryota; Metazoa; Arthropoda; Arachnida; Scorpiones; Buthidae. The record is from RefSeq and is a predicted model, not a curated record. The transcript has 3 exons.